This 670-nucleotide non-coding RNA is filed under the name Pan troglodytes (chimpanzee). The record is from RNAcentral. Lineage: Eukaryota; Metazoa; Chordata; Mammalia; Primates; Hominidae.
CACCCCCCUUCUUCCCCGGGGCCUUCCACCUCCGCGAGUUUUAUGACUUAAAAAACCCCACAGGCUGGUCUGAAGAGGAAGACAAACAUAAAGAUGAAGUGCUUAAUUCAAGGUCACACAAUGUCGGGGAUGGACCUCCAGAUUUCCUUACUGGAAAACAAGCUCAGGGCUCCCACUGAUUGUACAUUAUGACCAAGUGUGUUGGGGACUUGAGAUGCGUACAUGAGUGUUUGUGAUGUUUCCUGCCGAAAGCACAGGUGAGACGUGGUCUUGUAACACAGUGGUUAAGAAUGUGACUUUGGAGCCAGCCUGCUAGGGGCUGAAUUCUGACUCAGCCAUUUACUAACUGUGUGACCUUAGGUCACAGAAUUUUCCACACUCCUUGACGGAGGUGCUUAACCCUUAUCCAUCAGCAUUCUCAGACAGCACCUCCGGUUAGGGACAGUAUCUGACCGUCCGACAUCCCUGCAGCCCCCAUGUGUCACACAGACUCAGCCUCAGGUAGAUGGUUUCCGUAGAUGGUGGCUUUCUUUGGACCCUUGACAUCAACCAGUUACUAUUUGGGGACCAGAUGUGCAGAGGUAAUGAAUACCAGGGAAUCAGGAAACCACUGGAUCAGUUCUUUGAGCCACAGAACAACACUCAUCCCAGCAGCUGGGAAGCUAUCUGC